Molecule: long non-coding RNA, 2313 nt
Organism: Oncorhynchus keta (chum salmon)
Lineage: Eukaryota; Metazoa; Chordata; Actinopteri; Salmoniformes; Salmonidae
Exons: 3
Source: RefSeq, a predicted model, not a curated record
CACCAAGGAGGGUUUGGAAAGCCCUGCUUUAAGGCACUGUAGCCAUAGUCAGAAAACAUAGUUUAAAAUGUGUGAGUCCAUCUAUAGCAAGCCAGAUAUGACCAAUACGGUUUGACAGAGGAACGGAUAUCACCCUGACCAUCGAUGCCGAGGCUGCUGGAGCCACAGACUUGAACAACACAUACCUGCGUCUCUCCAUUGUAAGCAAGGAGACAGGUUUUACCACUCCCCAGAACGGGCUUCCAGGCGUCUCCUCCAAGUUACCAGGGUUCUGGUCUAGAAGCACAAUUACGAUUGCUAAUACAGUUUUGUUUCUGUACUGCAGUAUAAGGGACGCUUGGCCCAGAAAGACCAUUUCCAUACACGGCCACAUAGAGAAGUCAUAUUUGAAAAUGUGUAAUAAGUCACUUUAGUCAUCACCUACGUGAAAAAAAUAUCCAUUGAAUUUUUCAAAUAAUUGUCGCUGAGGCCGAUAAAAUGUGUAUAUUUUAUAUUCAUCCAAUGUCUGCCAUGUUUUAGGAUGACAUAAUGACGACAUCACUGCUCACGAUGCUCCCUGUGUGAACUGAGUGCUAGUGUGCAUGUGAUGUUGGGCUGAGUAAACCAGAUGCAUCCUGGAUAUACACAGGAUUACCUUGAUAACAACGGGCAGACACACUGGACGCAGACUCCAGUUCUAAUUAGAAGGACCGAGCACGCCCCCAUUCUCAUCGACGGGGCUGUAGUGGAGCAGGCUGAGAGCUUCAAGUUCCUUGGGGUCCACAUCACCAACAAACUAACUGGUCCAAGCACAACAAGACAGUCAUGAAGAGGGCAUGACAAAACCUAUUCCCUUUCAGGAGACUGAAAAGAUUUGGCAUGGGUCCUCAGAUCCUCAAAGGUUUUACAGCUGCACCAUCGCAAGCAUCCUGACGGGUUGCAUCACUGCCUGGAAUGGCAACUGCUCUGCCUCCAAGGCACUACAGAGGGUAGUGCGAAAGGCCCAGUACAUUACCGGGGCCAAGCUUCCUGCCAUCCAGUACCAACAACAACGAGAUGGCCUACAGGGAGGAGGUGAGGGCCCUCGGAGUGUGGUUUCAGGAAAAUAACCUCACACUCAAUGUCAACAAAACAAAGAAGAUGAUUGUGGACUUCAUGAAACAGCAGAGGGAGCAGCCCCCUAUUCACGAUGGGACAGUAGUGGAGACGGUGGAAAGUUUAAAGUUCCUCGGCGUACACAUCAUGGACAAACUGAAAUGGUCCACCCACACAGACAGCGUGGGUCAUCUGUACCUGUAGUUAGUUCUACAUCCACCCAGGUCUCUGUCACCAACACUACAGCUGUACUUGUAGUAAGUACUACAUCCACCCAGGUCUAUGUCACCAACACUACAGCUGUACCUGUAGUUAGUACUAUAUCCACCCAGGUCUCUGUCACCAACACUACAGCUGUACUUGUAGUAAGUACUACAUCCACCCAGGUCUCUGUCACCAACACUACAGCUGUACCUGUAGUUAGUACUACAUCCACCCAGGUCUCUGUCACCAACACUAUAUCUGUACCUGUAGUUAGUACUACAUCCACCCAGGUCUCUGUCACCAACACUGCAAUUUUAUAAUAGUUCAUGUAGGUAUGUAUGUAUGUAAUAUGAUAUAAUGUAGUAUAUUAUCAAACUAAGUCAUAUCAUGUAGUAUAUAUUCAAACUAAGACUGGUGUGAGUCAUAUCAUGUAGUAUAUAUUCAAACUAAGACUGGUGUGAGUCAUAUCAUGUUGUAUAUAUUCAAAACUAAGACUGGUGUGAGUCAUAUCAUGUAGUAUAUAUUCAAACUAAGACUGGUGUGAGUCAUAUCAUGUCGUAUAUAUUCAAACUAAGACUGGUGUGAGUCAUAUCAUGUCGUAUAUUAUUAAACUAAGACUGGUGUGAGUCAUAUCAUGUAGUAUAUAUUCAAACUAAGACUGGUGUGAGUCAUAUCAUGUAGUAUAUAUUCAAACUAAGACUGGUGUGAGUCAUAUCAUGUAGUAUAUAUUCAAACUAAGACUGGUGUGAGUCAUAUCAUGUAGUAUAUAUUCAAACUAAGACUGGUGUGAGUCAUAUCAUGUAGUAUAUAUUCAAAACUAAGACUGGUGUGAGUCAUAUCAUGUAGUAUAUAUUCAAACUAAGACUGGUGUGAGUCAUAUCAUGUCGUAUAUUAUUAAACUAAGACUGGUGUGAGUCAUAUCAUGUAGUAUAUUAUUAAACUAAGAAUGGUGUGAGUCAUAUCAUGUAGUAUAUAUUCAAACUAAGACUGGUGUGAGUCAUAUCAUGUAGUAUAUUAUUAAACUAAGACUGGUGU